AUUGAACGCUGGCGGCAGGCCUAACACAUGCAAGUCGAGCGGAUGAAGGGAGCUUGCUCCUGGAUUCAGCGGCGGACGGGUGAGUAAUGCCUAGGAAUCUGCCUGGUAGUGGGGGAUAACGUCCGGAAACGGGCGCUAAUACCGCAUACGUCCUGAGGGAGAAAGUGGGGGAUCUUCGGACCUCACGCUAUCAGAUGAGCCUAGGUCGGAUUAGCUAGUUGGUGGGGUAAAGGCCUACCAAGGCGACGAUCCGUAACUGGUCUGAGAGGAUGAUCAGUCACACUGGAACUGAGACACGGUCCAGACUCCUACGGGAGGCAGCAGUGGGGAAUAUUGGACAAAGGGCGAAAGCCUGAUCCAGCCAUGCCGCGUGUGUGAAGAAGGUCUUCGGUUUGUAAAGCACUUUAAGUUGGGAGGAAGGGCAGUAAGUUAAUACCUUGCUGUUUUGACGUUACCAACAGAAUAAGCACCGGCUAACUUCGUG
RNAcentral lists this ribosomal RNA (484 nucleotides) under uncultured bacterium. RNAcentral describes it as "partial 16S ribosomal RNA". It matches the Rfam family "Bacterial small subunit ribosomal RNA", at positions 30 to 507 of the family's 1533-position model. The record is from RNAcentral.